AAUUGGAGGGCAAGUCUGGUGCCAGCAGCCGCGGUAAUUCCAGCUCCAAUAGCGUAUAUUAAAGUUGUUGCAGUUAAAAAGCUCGUAGUUGAAUUUCGGGAUUGACACGUCGGUCGUGCCCUAAGGGGUAUGAACUGGCGUAGUCAAUUUCUCACCUUCUGGAGAACCGCGCUGUCCUUAAUUGGGUGACGCGGGGAACCAGGACCUUUACUUUGAAAAAAUUAGAGUGUUUAAAGCAGGCAUUUUGCUCGAAUACAUUAGCAUGGAAUAAUAGAAUAGGACGGCAUGGUUCUAUUUUGUUGGUUUCUAGGAUCACCGUAAUGAUUAAUAGGGAUAGUUGGGGGCAUUAGUAUUCAAUUGUCAGAGGUGAAAUUCUUGGAUUUAUUGAAGACUAACUACUGCGAAAGCAUUUGCCAAGGAUGUUUUCAUUAAUCAAGAACGAAAGUUAGGGGAUCGAAGACGAUCAGAUACCGUCGUAGUCUUAACCAUAAACUAUGCCGACUAGGAAUCAGACGAUGUUAAUUUUUUAAUGACUCGUUUGGCACCUUACGGGAAACCAAAGUGU
RNAcentral lists this ribosomal RNA (565 nucleotides) under uncultured Glomus. Its description in RNAcentral is "SSU rRNA". It matches the Rfam family "Eukaryotic small subunit ribosomal RNA", at positions 546 to 1106 of the family's 1831-position model. Lineage: Eukaryota; Fungi; Glomeromycota; Glomeromycetes; Glomerales; Glomeraceae. The record is from RNAcentral.